RNAcentral lists this ribosomal RNA (406 nucleotides) under uncultured bacterium. RNAcentral describes it as "partial 16S ribosomal RNA". It matches the Rfam family "Bacterial small subunit ribosomal RNA", at positions 30 to 526 of the family's 1533-position model. The record is from RNAcentral.
AUUGAACGCUGGCGGCAGGCCUAACACAUGCAAGUCGAACGAGUGGCGGACGGGUGAGUAAUGUCUGGGAAACUGCCCGAUGGAGGGGGAUAACUACUGGAAACGGUAGCUAAUACCGCAUACCAUCGGAUGUGCCCAGAUGGGAUUAGCUAGUAGGUGGGGUAACGGCUCACCAAGGCGACGAUCCGUAGCUGGUUUGAGAGGACGACCAGCCACACUGGGACUGAGACACGGUCCAGACUCCUACGGGAGGCAGCAGUGGGGAAUUUUGGACAAUGGGGGAAAGCCUGAUCCAGCCAUCCCGCGUGUAUGAUGAAGGCCUUCGGGUUGUAAAGUACUUUUGGCAGAGAAGCGUUAUCUGCAGAAGAAGCACCGGCUAACUACGUGCCAGCAGCCGCGGUAAUAC